GUCCUCGCUGCUCAGGGGGAAGCAUCACCAGGACCUGCGGAGCCCUAACCUUCUGUCUGCUCCCCGCCUCUCAGCCAUCUCCAGGGACUUCCGGGAUUAGCCCGAGGUGAUUCUCCUUGUAAAGGAAAUAACAUCUGUUGCGAAUCUCCGUUUUUGUCCAGCUGAAACACUGACGAAAACGGUGGAAUGACCCUGUGUGACUCCCGAGGCUAGAUCCUAAUAAGUCUUGGAGCUACUACCUGGGGCUCCUGGAACAUGAGCUCUGGGGAAAGCCAGACGCAAUGCUAGCUUCGAGAAGCCCUCAUACUCAGAGACUGCUACUGCGUCAUAAGGAAGCCCACAGCUGCUUUCCGGCCACUCCAGCCCAGGUGCAGACAUGUGAGUGAAGAAGGUUCAGAAUAAUGAAUAUUCUGACGUUCAAGAUCAAGUUGUACGAAAGGUAACAUAUGAUAAAUUCCAAGACAUUCCAGAGAGGAAAGAGUGGGUGGCAGCUGGUGAGCUGCAACAUUUUUCUUUUCAGAGAACAAUUCUUGUGGAAGAAACAGCAUUGCUGCCGUUUUCUAUUUUCAGCGCACAGUGACACUUAACUAAUGUAAUUAUUAUUCAAGUGAAGGUGUAGAGCUAGCUGCAAGCCUUCAUUGGCAAGUUUUACAAAACUGAUAUACAGUAGAGGAUGCAAAUGGGUAGUCUGCUGCAAUUCACGUAAAAGGUUUGCAGUUUGAAUUCGGAUUACCUAUACAAGGGUAUUUACAACCUAUCCAUGAGGCAACAAACCUCGUGUACCCAUCAACCUAGUUUAACAACUAGAACAGUACCGAUAGCCCUGAAGCCUUCUAGUCACACUCAGUGCCUAGAAAUAAUAGAGAUGAGCUGCCAACAGUUAAACAGGUAACAUUUCACGUGCACACCUAGAUAUCCAGCUUCUCCUGAAAAACCUGGCGCUGCUGCUGGGGGCCUGCAUUCCUGUAGGGAAAUAUUGGGUUGGGUCACCCCUCCAGUUCAGCACAUCCCACCCUGUGUCUGCUUAUCUGGCUGCCUUCCUUCAUCCACAUGACCUGGCUGGCACCGAGGCAUCUGAGUUCAUAACCCCUGGUAUGUGUGUUUCCUUUCUGGGUUGGUUUUCUCUCCUCUGACCUGGUUCAAGACCUCCAUUUCCCUAGUUCUCCUGCCUCUGCUUCGGGGCACCUCCUUUCUGGGUGGCGUGGGACCUUUCAGAGGCACUAGGCUCCACGAAGAUGCACAGAUGAGAUGUCCCAACCCUCAGUGGACAUGAGCUGCGUACAUCCUAGUGACUUGUGUACGACUGCAUAUUAUAUAAGACAGGCAACAAUGGGAAUGUAGAAAGGGUGUAGGAGCACAAA
This is a long non-coding RNA of Leptonychotes weddellii (Weddell seal), 1361 nucleotides long. RefSeq lists it as uncharacterized. The record is from RefSeq and is a predicted model, not a curated record. NCBI's taxonomy places the organism in Eukaryota, Metazoa, Chordata, Mammalia, Carnivora, Phocidae.